UUCUUGAACUCAUGCCCUGUGUCUGCCCAGUUAUUGGAAAAACGUUGGUUGGUUACUGUGGGCCAGGCAUGGUACCACAUGCUGGGGCAUUUUCCUCUUGGAGCUGUGUUAAUGACUUCCAUAGUGUUGCCAGCAGCCCCUUUAUCAUCUGUAAGAUACCGUCCAAACUCCUUUGCAUAUCAUGUGAUGGAUGUGGACACACUGUACUAGGCCCUGAGAGUGGAACCCUUACAUCCAUAAACUACCCACAGACCUAUCCCAACAGCACUGUCUGUGAAUGGGAGAUCCGUGUAAAGAUGGGAGAGAGAGUUCGCAUCAAAUUUGGUGACUUUGACAUUGAAGAUUCUGAUUCUUGUCACUUUAAUUACUUGAGAAUUUAUAAUGGAAUUGGAGUCAGCAGAACUGAAAUAGGCAAAUACUGUGGUCUGGGGUUGCAAAUGAACCAUUCAAUUGAAUCAAAAGGCAAUGAAAUCACAUUGCUGUUCAUGAGUGGAAUCCAUGUUUCUGGACGCGGAUUUUUGGCCUCAUACUCUGUUAUAGAUAAACAAGAUCUAAUUACUUGUUUGGACACUGCAUCCAAUU
Molecule: small RNA, 582 nt
Filed under: Pan troglodytes (chimpanzee)
Lineage: Eukaryota; Metazoa; Chordata; Mammalia; Primates; Hominidae
Description: processed transcript
Source: RNAcentral